RNAcentral lists this ribosomal RNA (468 nucleotides) under uncultured bacterium. RNAcentral's name for it is "partial 16S ribosomal RNA". It matches the Rfam family "Bacterial small subunit ribosomal RNA", at positions 28 to 507 of the family's 1533-position model. The record is from RNAcentral.
GACGAACGCUGGCGGCGUGCUUAACACAUGCAAGUCGAACGGAAAGGCCCUGCUUUUGUGGGGUGCUCGAGUGGCGAACGGGUGAGUAACACGUGAGUAACCUGCCCUUGACUUUGGGAUAACUUCAGGAAACUGGGGCUAAUACCGGAUAGGAGCUCCUGCUGCAUGGUGGGGGUUGGAAAGUUUCGGCGGUUGGGGAUGGACUCGCGGCUUAUCAGCUUGUUGGUGGGGUAGUGGCUUACCAAGGCUUUGACGGGUAGCCGGCCUGAGAGGGUGACCGGCCACAUUGGGACUACGAGAGGGCCCAGACUCCUACGGGGGGCAGCGGUGGGGAAUAUUGCACAAUGGGCGGAAGCCUGAUGCAGCGACGCCGCGUGCGGGAUGACGGCCUUCGGGUUGUAAACCGCUUUCGCCUGUGACGAAGCGUGAGUGACGGUAAUGGGUAAAGAAGCACCGGCUAACUACGUG